Molecule: non-coding RNA, 18 nt
Filed under: Mus musculus (house mouse)
Lineage: Eukaryota; Metazoa; Chordata; Mammalia; Rodentia; Muridae
Source: RNAcentral
UGAGCAUGACUUCACCCU